This 77-nucleotide transfer RNA is filed under the name Gammaproteobacteria bacterium. RNAcentral describes it as "tRNA-Met". It matches the Rfam family "tRNA". From Rfam's summary of the family: Transfer RNA (tRNA) molecules are approximately 80 nucleotides in length. Their secondary structure includes four short double-helical elements and three loops (D, anti-codon, and T loops). RNAcentral also lists the same sequence under 2 other names. The record is from RNAcentral. Lineage: Bacteria; Pseudomonadati; Pseudomonadota; Gammaproteobacteria.
GGGCCUAUAGCUCAGUUGGUUAGAGCGCCGGACUCAUAAUCCGUCGGUCCCUGGUUCGAAUCCAGGUGGGCCCACCA